Molecule: long non-coding RNA, 260 nt
Filed under: Vigna radiata
Lineage: Eukaryota; Viridiplantae; Streptophyta; Magnoliopsida; Fabales; Fabaceae
Description: long non-coding RNA (VRAD_LNC011692)
Source: RNAcentral
UCAUUUGUCUUCCCAGGGAUUUUGUCAGAGGAUCCGCUAGAUUCCAUUCUGACUUCACAUAAUCAAUGGAAAUAGUUCCACUCUUUAGCAGCUGCUUCACCAAAUUGGUGUCUCAAUUGUACAUGUCUAUUCUUUCCAUUGUAAUUCUUCUUUUUAGCUAUAGCUAUUGCCGAUUGGCAAUCACAGUGUAUUGAUACUAAUGGGGUAUUGGUUUCAUUCCUAGUAGAAUGUUUGCUAAGUAGUUUUUCAACCACGCAGCC